Molecule: ribosomal RNA, 393 nt
Filed under: uncultured bacterium
Lineage: Bacteria
Description: bacterial SSU rRNA
Rfam family: Bacterial small subunit ribosomal RNA
Source: RNAcentral
AUUGAACGCUGGCGGCAGGCCUAACACAUGCAAGUCGAACGGUAACAGGAAACAGCUUGCUGUUUCGCUGACGAGUGGCGGACGGGUGAGUAAUGUCUGGGAAACUGCCUGAUGGAGGGGGAUAACUACUGGAAACGGUAGCUAAUACCGCAUAACGUCGCAAGACCAAAAGAGGGGGACCCUCGGGCCUCUUGCCAUCGGAUGUGCCCAGAUGGGAUUAGCUUGUUGGUGGGGUAACGGCUCACCAAGGCGACGAUCCCGUAGCUGGUCUGAGAGGACGACCAGCCACACUGGAACUGAGACACGGUCCAGACUCCUACGGGAGGCAGCAGUGGGAAUAUUGCACAAUGGGCGCAAGCCUGAUGCAGCCAUGCCGCGUGUAUGAAGAAGGCC